GUAAGAUGCUGGGAUUUUUUCCCCCCUUCAAGUGGGUGAAGAUUGUUCCCAGACUGAAGCCUUCAUCGCAAGCCAACUUUUAACUGCAAGGGAAAUGUCUGAACUGGUAUGAGCAUUGCCAGUGGAUUUUGUGGGUGACAGCAGGCUUUGGAAAGCCAAACAUGGACAUGCAGCAUUCCCUGAGUUUUGGUGAUAUUUCCUGGGAAGCACAAACUGGGAUAUUCUUUCCAUGUAACUUAAAGCAAAUCACCGAGGAGAAUGAGGCACCUAUUUAGACAAUCCCAGAAUGGUUUGGAUUAGAAGAGACCUUAAAGCUCCUCUUGUGCCACCCCUGCCAUGGACAUUCCAGUAUCCCAGGUUGCUCCAAACCCCAUCCAACCUGGCCUUGGACAUUUCCAGGGAUCCAGGGGCAGAACUGAUUCUAAACAAGAAGAGUUUUAUAAAAGCCAGGUGCUGCAAAGCCCUUAUUGCAAAUCCUGCCUUGGCUCAUCAGAGGGAAUUUAAAUAAUUUC
Molecule: long non-coding RNA, 512 nt
Organism: Hirundo rustica (Barn swallow)
Lineage: Eukaryota; Metazoa; Chordata; Aves; Passeriformes; Hirundinidae
Exons: 4
Source: RefSeq, a predicted model, not a curated record